Long non-coding RNA from Hemicordylus capensis (graceful crag lizard), 1668 nucleotides. RefSeq lists it as uncharacterized. The transcript is spliced from 3 exons. NCBI's taxonomy places the organism in Eukaryota, Metazoa, Chordata, Lepidosauria, Squamata, Cordylidae. The record is from RefSeq and is a predicted model, not a curated record.
GGGGCCAAAGAUCCUCCCCUCAGUCUGUUCACUUGGAGGGCUGGACUGGACUGGAGCAGUGCCGCUUCCUCCACUACGCUGAGCCUCUCUCUCUCCGCCGCCCGCCACUCUGCCAGCCUGCCCUGCGUCCUUCCCCUCUUCCUUCCAUCGCCCUCGGUCCCGUCCCUUUGCUUUCCAACCUCCCUAACGCCACAGGCCCCUCUCCUUCUCAUUCAGCCCUUUUGCCUUCCUCCCGCCCCACUGAUGGCCGGAGGAAACCUGGUGCCACAAAAAGGCGACUGUAAGAACACACAUCACCUCUGGAGUGACUGCUGGGAUAAUUCUCCUCCUGGCAGAGCUGUGGUUGUUAAGUGUCUGGAGUUGCAUGGUUGGGGUUUUGUGCUGCAGAAGAAUAUUCCAGGAGUCAACAUGUAGCCAGUGACUAUGUUGGACCUGCUGUGGAGAGAGAGUCUCCCUCCAGCACUGAUGGGCCAAGGGUGUGACUGGGCAUAUGCAGUUUCCUGCGUUCCUAACCUAAGCAUGCUGGUGGGGCAAGAACAUUCACUCUCUUCCCUUAGCCCAGGAAUCACCAGGCUUCCGACUGUGAGGCUGCUGCACCUUUAGCACUUGUAGGUACGUACAGCCUGUCACGUGAUGCUCUGCGAGUCUGAACAUUUGCUCCUGCCAACAUUCCUCCAGCUGCACAUCUGUUAAAGAUACAGGAGCCCUGAUAGACUGGAGAGCUGGCCCCUCCUGCUGUGGCCCGGCCACCGACACAGAAAGGUGCUGAGGCUGCGACUUCCCUGGAGCUCCGAACAAGCUGGUGUGUGUGGCCCAGUUGAAAGGGAAAUCAUCACACAUGCUCCAAAGUUACCGACGCAGCCAGCGUCGGCUCCAAGUUAAGAACUGGAUUUUGCCAAAAGCAGCAGCUGAACUCUCCUUUUCCCUCCCACCGCCUUCUGUUUUAUCACAGCUGUAAUUAAAAUGCAGUUGGUUCUCUGUUCCCAUGUCUCCCUGAUAUAAGCCUCUUGAACGUAUCCCAAAAGGCUCCCAUCUGCUCCACUCCGUAAUCGCCCUUGUCCCAAUCGGAUAACUUCAUGCUCAAAUGCCAGGUCCGAGUUCUUUGUCUGAGCAUUGCAGCAACUACGGAUCAAGCCGGGGAUGGGGGACAUUUUCAAGCGGCCUGGUAAAGAAGCCCUUUGCCUGGGCUUCCAAAAAUAUCCAUUUGUUCCUCUGUAUAUACACAUCAUUAUCUAACAUCUGCACUGCAUCCCGCUCUGCAGUCCUUCCCUGGAUUCAUAAGCAAUUCUCUCUCAUAUCGGUGAAUCUACUUCACCUUACAUAUUUGGGUACCAAAAAUUCUGCAGCUAUCCUAAUAAAUUCUCCUGCCUCUUCCUUGCAUUCUCAAAGUCUGCUGGGCCUCUUUGCCCCUUUCCUUAUUACCCAGAGUGCUUUAUGCCAGCACCAGCAAUGUAGAAUAUACCUUGUGCAUUGCUCUGGUGGUGCUAUAUCCUCUUAAUUCAGAAUCCUUUACAGCUUUUCCCCCACGCCUGAACUCCAGCACAGCAUGCUACAUUAUUCAUAAUCACUCAAUGCCCCUAAGCCCCCAGUGCUGCCGUAGUUUGCUCCCUAAGCUGCCAGGACCCUGUUGACUUAGCCCCACUGCUGCAAUCUGUUGCUUAUAAGCCC